This 277-nucleotide ribosomal RNA is filed under the name uncultured bacterium. Its description in RNAcentral is "partial small subunit ribosomal RNA". It matches the Rfam family "Bacterial small subunit ribosomal RNA", at positions 26 to 290 of the family's 1533-position model. The record is from RNAcentral.
AGAAUCAACGCUGGCGGCGUGCCUAACACAUGCAAGUCGAACGCGAAAGUCCCGCAAGGGAUUAGUAGAGUGGCAAACGGGUGAGUAACACGUGGGUGACCUGCCUUCGAGUGGGGGAUAACGUCCCGAAAGGGACGCUAAUACCGCAUGACAUCCUGCUUUUUAAGAGGCGGAGAUCAAAGCUGGGGAUCGCAAGACCUGGCGCUUGAAGAGGGGCCCGCGCCUGAUUAGCUAGUUGGUGGGGUAACGGCUCACCAAGGCAUCGAUCAGUAUCCGG